ACCUACGGGGGGCAGCAGUGGGGAAUAUUGCACAAUGGGGGAAACCCUGAUGCAGCGACGCCGCGUGAGUGAUGAAGUAUUUCGGUAUGUAAAGCUCUAUCAGCAGGGAAGAUAAUGACGGUACCUGACUAAGAAGCUCCGGCUAAAUACGUGCCAGCAGCCGCGGUAAUACGUAUGGAGCAAGCGUUAUCCGGAUUUACUGGGUGUAAAGGGAGCGUAGACGGCGGAACAAGUCAGAAGUGAAAACCCGGGGCUCAACCCUGGGAGUGCUUUUGAAACUGUUUGGCUGGAGUGCAGGAGAGGUA
RNAcentral lists this ribosomal RNA (305 nucleotides) under uncultured bacterium. RNAcentral describes it as "bacterial SSU rRNA". It matches the Rfam family "Bacterial small subunit ribosomal RNA", at positions 337 to 659 of the family's 1533-position model. The record is from RNAcentral.